CACAAAAAAUCUAAUAUGUUAUUAAUUAUUGUAGUAUAUAAGAUUAUAAAAUUUUAAAAUAAUAUGUAUGAAAUUGAAUAUAAAUAUUCAAAUUGUGACUCAGUACUCAGUAUAAAAUUUUCUUAAAUCUAUUUUUGACCCGUUAUAAUAUUUUUUCAUGUAUUGAACAGUUUAUAUUCGUUUUUAAAAAUUCAAAUUAUAGCAUAUGCGAAAAAACUCUAAUUAUUGUUUUAUAACGAUGAUAUUAUUUUUUCGCAAAAAUAGAAUCAUAUAAAGAUGAGAGGUGUACUAUAAUAAUUAAUAAAAAAUUAAUAUGAUAA
This 320-nucleotide small RNA is filed under the name Arabidopsis thaliana (thale cress). RNAcentral describes it as "ATSL050790". The record is from RNAcentral. Lineage: Eukaryota; Viridiplantae; Streptophyta; Magnoliopsida; Brassicales; Brassicaceae.